This 242-nucleotide ribosomal RNA is filed under the name uncultured bacterium. RNAcentral describes it as "partial 16S ribosomal RNA". It matches the Rfam family "Bacterial small subunit ribosomal RNA", at positions 89 to 334 of the family's 1533-position model. The record is from RNAcentral.
CGUCGAGCGGCGAACGGGUGAGUAACGCGUAGGAAUCUGCCUGGUAGAGGGGGAUAGCUCGGGGAAACUCGAAUUAAUACCGCAUACGCCCUACGGGGGAAAGCAGGGGACCUUCGGACCUUGCACUGUCAGAUGAGCCUGCGUCGGAUUAGCUAGUUGGUGGGGUAAAGGCCCACCAAGGCGACGAUCCGUAACUGGUCUGAGAGGAUGAUCAGUCACACCGGAACUGAGACACGGUCCGG